Molecule: small RNA, 191 nt
Filed under: Pan troglodytes (chimpanzee)
Lineage: Eukaryota; Metazoa; Chordata; Mammalia; Primates; Hominidae
Description: retained intron
Source: RNAcentral
AAAUAAGAAUGUCUAAGCCCCUGGAGGCCGAGAAGCAAGGUCUGGACUCCCCAUCAGAGCACACAGACACCGAAAGAAAUGGACCAGACACUAAUCAUCAGAACCCCCAAAAUAAGACCUCCCCAUUCUCCGUGUCCCCAACUGGCCCCAGUACAAAGGUAAGCACCUGUCGAAACAGCCAGGGAAGUGGG